RNAcentral lists this ribosomal RNA (429 nucleotides) under Gemmatimonadota bacterium. RNAcentral describes it as "Gemmatimonadetes bacterium partial 16S ribosomal RNA". It matches the Rfam family "Bacterial small subunit ribosomal RNA", at positions 355 to 776 of the family's 1533-position model. Lineage: Bacteria; Pseudomonadati; Gemmatimonadota. The record is from RNAcentral.
UAGGGAAUCUUCGGCAAUGGACGAAAGUCUGACCGAGCAACGCCGCGUGAGUGAAGAAGGUUUUCGGAUCGUAAAACUCUGUUGUUAGAGAAGAACAAGGACGUUAGUAACUGAACGUCCCCUGACGGUAUCUAACCAGAAAACCACGGCUAACUACGUGCCAGCAGCCGCGGUAAUACGUAGGUGGCAAGCGUUGUCCGGAUUUAUUGGGCGUAAAGCGAGCGCAGGCGGUUUCUUAAGUCUGAUGUGAAAGCCCCCGGCUCAACCGGGGAGGGUCAUUGGAAACUGGGAGACUUGAGUGCAGAAGAGGAGAGUGGAAUUCCAUGUGUAGCGGUGAAAUGCGUAGAUAUAUGGAGGAACACCAGUGGCGAAGGCGGCUCUCUGGUCUGUAACGGACGCUGAGGCUCGAAAGCGUGGGGAGCAAACAGG